Molecule: long non-coding RNA, 433 nt
Organism: Erigeron canadensis
Lineage: Eukaryota; Viridiplantae; Streptophyta; Magnoliopsida; Asterales; Asteraceae
Exons: 3
Source: RefSeq, a predicted model, not a curated record
AUAAAAUCAUACACUGCUUCCUAUCUGUUACGAAAAUCGCAAACCUUUUCGAAGAAUUUAUUCUGUCGGGAAUCAUCAGGGUAUUUAGGUGGAAGGAUUGAGUAAGCUUCCUUUGUAAGGUGGAUUUGAUCCUAAAAUACAGGAUAAGUCAACAGAGGUAGCAACUCUUACAAGUAAAAUGAAAGCUCUGUGUCAUGAGAAAGACAUGAUGUCCCUAUAAUACUUUGAAAAUCAUGUUAUAUCCAUUAAUAAAUUGGAUCUAAAAAACCCGAAUAUAAGGAAGUUGACGAAUGCUAUUUUGAUCAGCUACUUAAACUCAAGACAACUGAGAUGGAUAACAAGGAUUUAAAUAACUAUUGCAAUGCACUUCACAAGUGAGUUUUUAUAUUCUCUUAGCCAUAAACUGGUUUAGAUCAGAGGUGGCAAGAUUCGU